Molecule: ribosomal RNA, 406 nt
Filed under: uncultured bacterium
Lineage: Bacteria
Description: partial 16S ribosomal RNA
Rfam family: Bacterial small subunit ribosomal RNA
Source: RNAcentral
AUUGAACGCUGGCGGCAGGCCUAACACAUGCAAGUCGAGCGUGCGGCGGGCGGGGGUGUAAUGUCUGGGAAACUGCCUGCUAGAGGGGGAGAACUACUGGGAACGGCAGGUAAUAACGCAUGCCAUCAGAUGUGUCCAGAUGGGAUUAGCUAGUGGGUGGGGUAACGGCUAACCUAGGCGACGAUCCAUAGCUGGCCUGAGAGGAUGACCAGCCACACUGGAACUGAGACACGGUCCAGACUCCUACGGGAGGCAGCAGUGGGGAAUAUUGCACAAUGGGCGCAAGCCUGAUGCAGCCAUGCCGCGUGUGUGAAGAAGGCCUUCGGGUUGUAAAGCACUGUUAGCGGGGAGGCGUUACCUGCAGAAGAAGCAACGGCUAACUCCGUGCCAGCAGCCGCGGUAAUAC